RNAcentral lists this ribosomal RNA (456 nucleotides) under uncultured bacterium. RNAcentral's name for it is "bacterial SSU rRNA". It matches the Rfam family "Bacterial small subunit ribosomal RNA", at positions 29 to 526 of the family's 1533-position model. The record is from RNAcentral.
AGCGAACGCUGGCGGCAGGCCUAAUACAUGCAAGUCGAGCGGCCGUAGCAAUACGGCAGCGGCAGACGGGAGAGUAACACGUGGGAACGUACCUUUCGGUUCGGAACAACCCAGGGAAACUUGGGCUAAUACCGGAUACGUCCGUAAGGAGAAAGAUUUAUCGCCGAAAGAUCGGCCCGCGUCUGAUUAGCUUGUUGGUGAGGUAACGGCUCACCAAGGCGACGAUCAGUAGCUGGUCUGAGAGGAUGAUCAGCCUCACUGGGACUGAGACACGGCCCAGACUCCUACGGGAGGCAGCAGUAGGGAAUAUUGGACAAUGGGCGCAAGCCUGAUCCAGCCAUGCCGCGUGAGUGAUGAAGGCCUUAGGGUUGUAAAGCUCUUUCGGCGGGGAAGAUAAUGACGGUACCCGCAGAAGAAGCCCCGGCUAACUUCGUGCCAGCAGCCGCCGAGUAACAC